GGUUUUUUGAAGUUAAAUAAAAAAUCUGGCCUGCCCACUGAGGUUAAUUUAAGGGCUGCAGUAUAUUGACUGUACAAAGGUAGCAUAAUCAUUAGUCUUCUAAUUAAGGACUGGUAUGAAUGGUUAAACGGAGUUUGUCUGUCUCUAAGAUUUAUAUUGAAUUUAUUUUCUUGUGAAAAAACAAGAAUAAAGUAAAGGGACAAAAAGACCCUAUUAAACUUAAUUUUUAUUUUAAUAUUAUUAUAGUUAUUAGAUUAAUAUUUGAGAGAAUUUUUACUGGGGCGGUAAGUUUGAUACAUAAAUUUUUUAUAAUAAAUUAAUAGCAUAAAAUAAAGAUCCAAUAGGUUGAUAAAGAGAAUAAGUUACUAUAGGGAUAACAGCGUAAUAUUUUCUGAGAGUUCUUAUUGACAAAUUUGUUUGCGACCUCGAUGUUGGAUUAAGAAGUCUGAUUAACGCAGUAGUUUGUUAAGAUGGUCUGUUCGACCUUUAAUAUCUU
RNAcentral lists this ribosomal RNA (496 nucleotides) under Trigoniulus corallinus. Its description in RNAcentral is "partial 16S ribosomal RNA". It matches the Rfam family "Bacterial large subunit ribosomal RNA", at positions 1819 to 2597 of the family's 2925-position model. Lineage: Eukaryota; Metazoa; Arthropoda; Diplopoda; Spirobolida; Trigoniulidae. The record is from RNAcentral.